GAAAGCUAUAAAGCAAUAUCUUUCAUCAGCAGAAAAUAAUACAGCUUUGGAUGCCCUGUUAAGCAAAAUACGAUAAACUUGUACAGUGCGAGAAAAAAGAAGUUAAAAGAGAAGAUGAUGCAAACAGUUGAAAUAUAAAUACAACUUCAUGAGAGCAAGAAAGCCAAAGUUUCCUCACUAAAAUGCCAAAACACAGAUGCAAUAAUCAGAUAAACAAAGGGGAUCAAAAAAAGCAAACUGAAAGAGAGAGUAUCAUUUCAAAAAGUUAAACAUCCA
Molecule: unclassified non-coding RNA, 276 nt
Filed under: Hevea brasiliensis (rubber tree)
Lineage: Eukaryota; Viridiplantae; Streptophyta; Magnoliopsida; Malpighiales; Euphorbiaceae
Source: RNAcentral